GGUGAGCCUGUAAAGUUUUAGGAUCAAGGUUAAAGGCCCUUUUUUGCUCUCUUCUCUCUUGGACCUUCAGGCGACGGCUUGGUAGAGACGGGGUUCCACCGUGUUAGCCAGGAUGGUCUCGAUCUCCUGACCUCGUCAUCCUCCCGCCUUGGCCUCCCAAAGUGCUGGGAUUACAGGCUUGAGCCACCGCGCCCCGCUCUUUCGUGUUCCAAAGGCUUUUUAAAUAAACUUCCACUCCUGUCCUGGAUUCUGCUUUAUGGCCCUCAGUCGAAUUCUUUCUUCUGAGGAGGCAAGGACUGAAGUUGCUUCUGACCAGUACAGGAGAAAACGAAUACAGCAGGGAUGACUUCCACCAGCUCCACUUUGCAGCUCUGAGGUGUAUUAAAAAUUUGUUUUUCAGAAACCUAGAGCCCCACCAAAUGAAUCCGCUGGCACGUGGACCUCAGAUGGGGGAAACUGAGGACUGAAUUCUGACCACCCUCCUUUGUUCUAAAUUUCUUCCUGAAGGACCUGGAAGAAGUCAUGCCACGGGCCAGACCUUAACAUUCCUUUCGGCUUACCCCAGGAUUUCAGACGAAGCUUCACUUUCCUAACCAGUCACAAAUCAGAGAAUUUUUGAUUCCACCUAUGACCUGUGAGCUCCUGCUUCAAGAUAUUCCACCUUUUUUAGGCCAAACCAAUGUAUAACCUCCAAGUGUCGAUUUACACUUUCGACUGUAACUUCUGCUUUCCUGAGAUUUACCCCUGCCUUUAAAAACCCUUGCUUGUAAUCCCUCAGGGAGGCCGUGUAUUUAUUAAUCAUGAGCUGCCCAAUUCUCCUUGCUUGGUGCCCUGCAAAUAAACACCCUCUUUUCUCCCACUGCAAAA
RNAcentral lists this small RNA (867 nucleotides) under Homo sapiens (human). RNAcentral describes it as "PPP1R3B divergent transcript (ENSG00000285236.3)". Lineage: Eukaryota; Metazoa; Chordata; Mammalia; Primates; Hominidae. The record is from RNAcentral.